RNAcentral lists this ribosomal RNA (253 nucleotides) under uncultured bacterium. RNAcentral describes it as "partial 16S ribosomal RNA". It matches the Rfam family "Bacterial small subunit ribosomal RNA", at positions 524 to 776 of the family's 1533-position model. The record is from RNAcentral.
UACGAAGGGUGCAAGCGUUACUCGGAAUUACUGGGCGUAAAGCGUGCGCAGGCGGUGAUGUAAGACAGGUGUGAAAUCCCCGGGCUUAACCUGGGAACUGCAUUUGUGACUGCAUCGCUGGAGUGCGGCAGAGGGGGAUGGAAUUCCGCGUGUAGCAGUGAAAUGCGUAGAUAUGCGGAGGAACACCGAUGGCGAAGGCAAUCCCCUGGGCCUGCACUGACGCUCAUGCACGAAAGCGUGGGGAGCAAACAGG